This 448-nucleotide ribosomal RNA is filed under the name uncultured soil bacterium. Its description in RNAcentral is "bacterial SSU rRNA". It matches the Rfam family "Bacterial small subunit ribosomal RNA", at positions 26 to 518 of the family's 1533-position model. The record is from RNAcentral.
AGAGCGAACGCUGGCGGCAGGCCUAACACAUGCAAGUCGAACGGACUCUUCGGAGUUAGUGGCGGACGGGUGAGUAACACGUGGGAACGUGCCUUUAGGUUCGGAAUAGCUCCUGGAAACGGGUGGUAAUACCGAAUGUGCCCUUCGGGGGAAAGAUUUAUCGCCUUUAGAGCGGCCCGCGUCUGAUUAGCUUGUUGGUGAGGUAAUGGCUCACCAAGGCUACGAUCAGUAGCUGGUCUGAGAGGAUGACCAGCCACAUUGGGACUGAGACACGGCCCAAACUCCUACGGGAGGCAGCAGUGGGGAAUCUUGCGCAAUGGGCGAAAGCCUGACGCAGCCAUGCCGCGUGUAUGAUGAAGGUCUUAGGAUUGUAAAAAUACUUUCACCGGUGAAGAUAAUGACUGUAGCCGGAGAAGAAGCCCCGGCUAACUUCGCGCCAAGCAGCCGC